GUUGGGUAAGGCACACAGGUCUGGGAGACACGCCGCAGCUCUCUUCCCACUGACCUCGAGCAUUUGCCUGCACUCGUCUCCUCAGGUUGCUGCGAGCCUUAGUUAACACCCAGAGUUCUGAAAGCGUUCCUCUAAGCCUCACCCGACUUUUCACGUUGAAUGGAGGCACUUUGUACAACGCUGAACAGGACAGAAAGCAGACAAAGCAUCUAAACAAGAAAAUUGAGCCAUAGACCCUCAACAGUCUGGUUUCUACUUUAAAGAACUUUGUAGAGAGGCCGUUCAUUACCCUGGGUGCAGCUUGUUGGUGUUUCUGCAGCAAGAGAGGAUCCAGACAGGUGAAACCCACCCCUCAGACUGCAGUGCAGCUGCCUGGUGCACUCACGCUCGGAGCAAGGGAGCUACUGAAGGAUGAGCUGCAGUACGUGCGUGUCGUUUGGUCCUUAGCAAACCAUGCUCUUCCAUGGAAAAGGGUUCAUUUUUCGUCUCUUGCAAGAAGCUUUUGUGUCAUAUAGAUGAAGUGGAAAAUUGGAAGCCAUAGUCCCUGCAGCAAGCUAUAAUGUGUUCCGCCAAUUCUGUACUGAAUCUUGUAUUAAACUGUAAUG
This is a long non-coding RNA of Chinchilla lanigera (long-tailed chinchilla), 605 nucleotides long. RefSeq lists it as uncharacterized. The record is from RefSeq and is a predicted model, not a curated record. Lineage: Eukaryota; Metazoa; Chordata; Mammalia; Rodentia; Chinchillidae. The transcript has 4 exons.